RNAcentral lists this ribosomal RNA (495 nucleotides) under uncultured bacterium. Its description in RNAcentral is "bacterial SSU rRNA". It matches the Rfam family "Bacterial small subunit ribosomal RNA", at positions 29 to 518 of the family's 1533-position model. The record is from RNAcentral.
AGCGAACGUUUGCGGCGGGCCUAACACAUGCAAGUCGAACGAGAAUCCCUUCGGGGAGGACAGUGGCGCACGGGUGCGUAACACGUGGAUAAUCAACCUUUCAGUCUGGGACAACCCGGGGAAACUCGGGCUAAUACCGGAUGUGUCGUGCGGUUCUUUGGAGCUGCUCGGGAAAGACCCGCAAGGGUUGCUGAAAGACGAGUCCGCGGCCCAUCAUGGUAGUUGGUGAGGUAAUGGCUCACCAAGCCUAAGACGGGUAGCUGGUCUGAGAGGAUGAUCAGCCACACUGGAACUGAGACACGGUCCAGACUCCUGCGGGAGGCAGCAGUGGGGAAUAUUGCGCAAUGGGCGAAAGCCUGACGCAGCCACGCCGCGUGUGCGAUGAAGGUCUUCGGAUCGUAAAGCACUGUGGAGGGAGAAGAAUAAAGUCGGUGAAGAGCCGGCCCUGACGGUAUCCCUUUAGCAAGCACCGGCUAACUCCGUGCCAGCAGCCGC